RNAcentral lists this ribosomal RNA (531 nucleotides) under Candida albicans. Its description in RNAcentral is "eukaryotic LSU rRNA". The stretch from base 164 to 317 matches the Rfam family "5.8S ribosomal RNA". Lineage: Eukaryota; Fungi; Ascomycota; Pichiomycetes; Serinales; Debaryomycetaceae. The record is from RNAcentral.
GGUGAACCUGCGGAAGGAUCAUUACUGAUUUGCUUAAUUGCACCACAUGUGUUUUUCUUUGAAACAAACUUGCUUUGGCGGUGGGCCCAGCCUGCCGCCAGAGGUCUAAACUUACAACCAAUUUUUUAUCAACUUGUCACACCAGAUUAUUACUAAUAGUCAAAACUUUCAACAACGGAUCUCUUGGUUCUCGCAUCGAUGAAGAACGCAGCGAAAUGCGAUACGUAAUAUGAAUUGCAGAUAUUCGUGAAUCAUCGAAUCUUUGAACGCACAUUGCGCCCUCUGGUAUUCCGGAGGGCAUGCCUGUUUGAGCGUCGUUUCUCCCUCAAACCGCUGGGUUUGGUGUUGAGCAAUACGACUUGGGUUUGCUUGAAAGACGGUAGUGGUAAGGCGGGAUCGCUUUGACAAUGGCUUAGGUCUAACCAAAAACAUUGCUUGCGGCGGCAACGUCUACCACGUAUAUCUUCAAACUUUGACCUCAAAUCAGGUAGGACUACCCGCUGAACUUAAGCAUAUCAAUAAGCGGAGGAA